RNAcentral lists this ribosomal RNA (428 nucleotides) under uncultured bacterium. RNAcentral's name for it is "bacterial SSU rRNA". It matches the Rfam family "Bacterial small subunit ribosomal RNA", at positions 30 to 460 of the family's 1533-position model. The record is from RNAcentral.
AUUGAACGCUGGCGGCAUGCCUUACACAUGCAAGUCGAACGGCAGCGGACCUUCGGGUGCCGGCGAGUGGCGAACGGGUGAGUAAUAUAUCGGAACGUACCUUUCAGUGGGGGAUAACGUAGCGAAAGUUACGCUAAUACCGCAUAUUCUGUGAGCAGGAAAGCAGGGGAUCGCAAGACCUUGCGCUGAUUGAGCGGCCGAUAUCAGAUUAGCUAGUUGGUGAGGUAAAGGCUCACCAAGGCGACGAUCUGUAGCGGGUCUGAGAGGAUGAUCCGCCACACUGGAACUGAGACACGGUCCAGACUCCUACGGGAGGCAGCAGUGGGGAAUUUUGGACAAUGGGCGCAAGCCUGAUCCAGCCAUGCCGCGUGAGUGAAGAAGGCCUCGGUUGUAAGUACGUCUUCGGUCCGGGUAACGGAAAGUACGAC